CCUACGGGUGGCAGCAGUGAGGAAUAUUGGUCAAUGGGCGUAAGCCUGAACCAGCCAAGUCGCGUGAGGGAUGAAGGUUCUAUGGAUCGUAAACCUCUUUUAUAAGGGAGUAAAGUGUGGGACGUGUCCUGUUUUGUAUGUACCUUAUGAAUAAGGAUCGGCUAACUCCGUGCCAGCAGCCGCGGUAAUACGGAGGAUCCGAGCGUUAUCCGGAUUUGUUGGGUUGAAAGGGUGCGUAGGCGGCCUUUUAAGUCAGCGGUGAAAGUCUGUGGCUCAACCAUAGAAUUGCCGUUGAAACUGGGAGGCUGGAGUAUGGUUGAGGCAGGCGGAAUGCGAGGUGUAGCGGUGAAAUGCGUAGAUAUAAGGCAGAACACCGAUGGCGAAGGCAGCCUGCCAAGCCAUGACUGACGCUGAGGCACGAAAGCGUGGGGAGCAAACAGGAUUAGAUACCCCAGUAGUC
This 460-nucleotide ribosomal RNA is filed under the name uncultured bacterium. Its description in RNAcentral is "partial 16S ribosomal RNA". It matches the Rfam family "Bacterial small subunit ribosomal RNA", at positions 338 to 795 of the family's 1533-position model. The record is from RNAcentral.